UUCACUAGUGAUUCGUAUUACCGCGGCUGCUGGCACAUGAUCAAACCCUAAUUCAAUUGCGACCGUCAUAAUCGUCACUAGCAUGAGCAGUUUAACCCUAAGGCAUUCAUCCUGCACGCGGCGUUGCUCCAUCAGACUUUCGUCCAUUGUGGAAAAUUCCCUACUGCUGCCUCCCGUAGGAGUCUGGGCCGUUCUCAGUCCCAGUCUGGCUGAUCAUCCUCUCAGACCAGCUAAUGAUCAUCGUCUUGGUGAGCCAUUACCUCACCAACUAACUAAUCAUGCGCAGGCCGUUCCCAAAGCGCCCGAAGGCUUUAAUCCGGAGAUCACAUGCGGUAUUAGCUACUCUUUCGAGCAGUUAUCCCUCACUUUGGGGUACUCCUACGUGUUACUCAGCCGUCCGCCGCUGUACCCCCGAAGGGGCCUUACCGCGGACUUGCAUGUAUUAGGCACGCCGCCAGCGUUCAUCCUGAGCCAUGAUCAAACUCUAAUCGAAUUCCCGCGGCC
This 504-nucleotide ribosomal RNA is filed under the name uncultured Bacillota bacterium. RNAcentral describes it as "uncultured Firmicutes bacterium partial 16S ribosomal RNA". Lineage: Bacteria; Bacillati; Bacillota. The record is from RNAcentral.